AGAGUUUGAUCCUGGCUCAGAAUCAACGCUGGCGGCGCGCUUAACACAUGCAAGUCGAACGGGAAAGUGGAGCAAUCCAUGAGUACAGUGGCGUACGGGUGAGUAACACGUGGAUGAUCUACCUCCUGGUGGGGAAUAACUUUGGGAAACCGAAGCUAAUACCGCAUAAGUCCGAAAGGAGAAAGGCGCAAGUCGCCGGGAGAGGAGUCCGCGGCCGAUUAGCUAGUUGGUGGGGUAAAGGCUCACCAAGGCAAAGAUCGGUAGCCGGCCUGAGAGGGCACACGGCCACACUGGCACUGAAACACGGGCCAGACUCCUACGGGAGGCAGCAGUGGGGAAUCUUGCACAAUGGGGGAAACCCUGAUGCAGCGACGCCGCGUGAGCGAUGAAGCCCUUCGGGGUGUAAAGCUCUUUCGACAGGAACGAUAAUGACGGUACCUGGAGAAGAAGCUGCGGCUAACUACGUGCCAGCAGCCGCGGUAAUACGUAGGCAGCAAGCGUUGUUCGGAGUUACUGGGCGUAAAGAGUAUGUAGGCGGUUGACCAAGUUUGGUGUGAAAUCUCCCGGCUUAACUGGGAGGGUGCGCCGAAUACUGGUUGACUGGAGCGUGGGAGAGGAAAGCGGAAUUCCUGGUGUAGCGGUGAAAUGCGUAGAGAUAUGGAGGAACACCGUGGCGAAGGCGACUUUCUGGUCUGUAACUGACACUGAGGCGCGAAAGCGUGGGGAGCAAACAGGAUUAGAUACCCUAGUAGUCC
RNAcentral lists this ribosomal RNA (755 nucleotides) under uncultured bacterium. Its description in RNAcentral is "bacterial SSU rRNA". It matches the Rfam family "Bacterial small subunit ribosomal RNA", at positions 8 to 796 of the family's 1533-position model. The record is from RNAcentral.